RNAcentral lists this ribosomal RNA (449 nucleotides) under uncultured bacterium. RNAcentral's name for it is "partial 16S ribosomal RNA". It matches the Rfam family "Bacterial small subunit ribosomal RNA", at positions 29 to 523 of the family's 1533-position model. The record is from RNAcentral.
AGCGAACGCUGGCGGCAGGCCUAACACAUGCAAGUCGAACGGACCCUUCGGGAUUAGUGGCGGACGGGUGAGUAACACGUGGGAACGUGCCCUUUGGUUCGGAACAACUCAGGGAAACUUGAGCUAAUACCGGAUGUGCCCUUCGGGGGAAAGAUUUAUCGCCAUUGGAGCGGCCCGCGUCUGAUUAGCUAGUUGGUGAGGUAAAGGCUCACCAAGGCGACGAUCAGUAGCUGGUCUGAGAGGAUGAUCAGCCACAUUGGGACUGAGACACGGCCCAAACUCCUACGGGAGGCAGCAGUGGGGAAUCUUGCGCAAUGGGCGAAAGCCUGACGCAGCCAUGCCGCGUGAAUGAUGAAGGUCUUAGGAUUGUAAAAUUCUUUCACCGGGGAUGAUAAUGACGGUACCCGGAGAAGAAGCCCCGGCUAACUUCGUGCCAGCCGCCGCAGUAA